This 200-nucleotide ribosomal RNA is filed under the name uncultured bacterium. RNAcentral's name for it is "partial 16S ribosomal RNA". It matches the Rfam family "Bacterial small subunit ribosomal RNA", at positions 8 to 202 of the family's 1533-position model. The record is from RNAcentral.
AGAGUUUGAUCCUGGCUCAGGAUGAACGCUAGCGGCAGGCCUAAUACAUGCAAGUCGAACGGUAACAUGAGUAGCAAUACUUGAUGACGAGUGGCGCACGGGUGCGUAACGCGUAUGCAAUCUACCUUUAACUGGUGAAUAGCCCGAAGAAAUUCGGAUUAAUACACCAUAGUAUAAUUUGACAGCAUUGUUAGGUUAUU